This 429-nucleotide ribosomal RNA is filed under the name Pseudomonadota bacterium. RNAcentral's name for it is "Proteobacteria bacterium partial 16S ribosomal RNA". It matches the Rfam family "Bacterial small subunit ribosomal RNA", at positions 355 to 776 of the family's 1533-position model. Lineage: Bacteria; Pseudomonadati; Pseudomonadota. The record is from RNAcentral.
UGGGGAAUAUUGGACAAUGGGCGAAAGCCUGAUCCAGCCAUGCCGCGUGUGUGAAGAAGGUCUUCGGAUUGUAAAGCACUUUAAGUUGGGAGGAAGGGCAGUAAGCGAAUACCUUGCUGUUUUGACGUUACUGACAGAAUAAGCACCGGCUAACUCUGUGCCAGCAGCCGCGGUAAUACAGAGGGUGCAAGCGUUAAUCGGAAUUACUGGGCGUAAAGCGCGCGUAGGUGGUUCGUUAAGUUGAAUGUGAAAGCCCCGGGCUCAACCUGGGAACUGCAUCCAAAACUGGCGAGCUAGAGUAGGGCAGAGGGUGGUGGAAUUUCCUGUGUAGCGGUGAAAUGCGUAGAUAUAGGAAGGAACACCAGUGGCGAAGGCGACCACCUGGGCUCAUACUGACACUGAGGUGCGAAAGCGUGGGGAGCAAACAGG